RNAcentral lists this transfer RNA (85 nucleotides) under Alphaproteobacteria bacterium. RNAcentral's name for it is "tRNA-Leu". It matches the Rfam family "tRNA". From Rfam's summary of the family: Transfer RNA (tRNA) molecules are approximately 80 nucleotides in length. Their secondary structure includes four short double-helical elements and three loops (D, anti-codon, and T loops). Further hydrogen bonds mediate the characteristic L-shaped molecular structure. tRNAs have two regions of fundamental functional importance: the anti-codon, which is responsible for specific mRNA codon recognition, and the 3' end, to which the tRNAs corresponding amino acid is attached (by aminoacyl-tRNA synthetases). tRNAs cope with the degeneracy of the genetic code in two manners: having more than one tRNA (with a specific anti-codon) for a particular amino acid; and 'wobble' base-pairing, i.e. permitting non-standard base-pairing at the 3rd anti-codon position. Lineage: Bacteria; Pseudomonadati; Pseudomonadota; Alphaproteobacteria. The record is from RNAcentral.
GCGGGUAUGGCGAAAUUGGUAGACGCGCUGGAUUUAGGUUCCAGUGGGGAAACCCAUAGGAGUUCGAGUCUCCUUACCCGCACCA